UACGUAGGGGGCAAGCGUUGUCCGGAAUCACUGGGCGUAAAGGGCGCGUAGGCGGCCAUUCAAGUCAGAGGUGAAAGCCCAAGGCUCAACCUUGGAACUGCCUUUGAUACUGUUUGGCUUGAGACCGGUAGAGGUAAGUGGAACUGCGAGUGUAGAGGUGAAAUUCGUAGAUAUUCGCAAGAACACCAGUGGCGAAGGCGGCUUACUGGACCGGUUCUGACGCUGAGGCGCGAAAGCGUGGGGAGCAAACAGG
RNAcentral lists this ribosomal RNA (253 nucleotides) under uncultured bacterium. Its description in RNAcentral is "partial 16S ribosomal RNA". It matches the Rfam family "Bacterial small subunit ribosomal RNA", at positions 524 to 776 of the family's 1533-position model. The record is from RNAcentral.